AGAGUUUGAUCCUGGCUCAGGAUGAACGCUGGCGGUAUGCCUAACACAUGCAAGUCGAACGAUGUCUUAGGACAUAGUGGCGGACGGGUGAGUAACGCGUGAGAAUCUGCCUCUAGGAUGGGGAUAACGGUUGGAAACGACCGCUAACACCCAAUAUGCCGUAAGGUGAAAAAUUUAUUGCCUGGAGAGGAGCUCGCGUCUGAUUAGCUAGUUGGUGGGGUAAGAGCUCACCAAGGCCUCGAUCAGUAGCUGGUCUGAGAGGAUGAGCAGCCACACUGGGACUGAGACACGGCCCAGACUCCUACGGGAGGCAGCAGUGGGGAAUUUUCCGCAAUGGGCGAAAGCCUGACGGAGCAAUACCGCGUGAGGGAGGAAUGCCUUUGGGUUGUAAACCUCUUUUCUCAGGGAAGAAGAUCUGACGGUACCUGAGGAAUAAGUAUCGGCUAACUCCGUGCCAGCAGCCGCGGUAAUACGGAGGAUGCAAGCGUUAUCCGGAAUCAUUGGGCGUAAAGCGUCCGCAGGUGGUUUCCAAAGUCUGCUGUUAAAGACUGGAGCUCAACUCCGGAACGGCGGUGGAAACUUGGAAACUAGAGUUCGGUAGGGGUAGCAGGAAUUCCCAGUGUAGCGGUGAAAUGCGUAGAUAUUGGGAAGAACAUCGGUGGCGAAGGCGUGCUACUGGACCGUAACUGACACUCAGGGACGAAAGCUAGGGGAGCGAAAGGGAUUAGAUACCCCUGUAGUCCUAGCUGUAAACGAUGGAAACUAGGUGUGGCUUGUAUCGACCCGAGCCGUGCCGUAGCUAACGCGUUAAGUUUCCCGCCUGGGGAGUAC
Molecule: ribosomal RNA, 831 nt
Filed under: uncultured marine microorganism
Description: bacterial SSU rRNA
Rfam family: Bacterial small subunit ribosomal RNA
Source: RNAcentral